Molecule: non-coding RNA, 45 nt
Filed under: Schistosoma mattheei
Lineage: Eukaryota; Metazoa; Platyhelminthes; Trematoda; Strigeidida; Schistosomatidae
Source: RNAcentral
AUCCAGCUGACAAGUCUCAAAUAGGACGAAACGCUCGUCCUGAAU